This 253-nucleotide ribosomal RNA is filed under the name uncultured bacterium. RNAcentral describes it as "partial 16S ribosomal RNA". It matches the Rfam family "Bacterial small subunit ribosomal RNA", at positions 524 to 776 of the family's 1533-position model. The record is from RNAcentral.
CACGUAGGGCGCAAGCGUUGUCCGGAAUUAUUGGGCGUAAAGCGCGUGUAGGCGGCAGUGCAAGUCGGGUGUGAAAGCCCUCAGCUCAACUGAGGAAGUGCGCUCGAAACUGCAUUGCUUGAGUACCGGAGAGGAUGGCGGAAUUCCCGAAGUAGAGGUGAAAUUCGUAGAUAUCGGGAGGAACACCAGUGGCGAAGGCGAGUCUCUGGGAUGAUGCUGACGCUGAGGCGCGAAAGCCAGGGGAGCAAACGGG